UAGGGAAUCUUCCGCAAUGGGCGAAAGCUUGACGGAGCAACGCCGCGUGAGUGAUGAAGGUCUUCGGAUCGUAAAACUCUGUUAUUAGGGAAGAACAAAUGUGUAAGUAACUAUGCACGUCUUGACGGUACCUAAUCAGAAAGCCACGGCUAACUACGUGCCAGCAGCCGCGGUAAUACGUAGGUGGCAAGCGUUAUCCGGAAUUAUUGGGCGUAAAGCGCGCGUAGGCGGUUUUUUAAGUCUGAUGUGAAAGCCCACGGCUCAACCGUGGAGGGUCAUUGGAAACUGGAAAGCUUGAGUGCAGAAGGGGAAAGUGGAAUUCCAUGUGUGGCGGUGAAAUGCGCAGAGGUAUGGGGGAACCCCAGUGGCGAAGGCGACUUUCUGGUCUGUAACUGACGCUGAUGUGCAAAAGCGUGGGGAUCAAACAGG
This 429-nucleotide ribosomal RNA is filed under the name Actinomycetes bacterium. RNAcentral describes it as "Actinobacteria bacterium partial 16S ribosomal RNA". It matches the Rfam family "Bacterial small subunit ribosomal RNA", at positions 355 to 776 of the family's 1533-position model. The record is from RNAcentral. Lineage: Bacteria; Bacillati; Actinomycetota; Actinomycetes.